Populus nigra (black poplar) is the source of this 922-nucleotide long non-coding RNA. RefSeq lists it as uncharacterized. The transcript has 2 exons. The record is from RefSeq and is a predicted model, not a curated record. Lineage: Eukaryota; Viridiplantae; Streptophyta; Magnoliopsida; Malpighiales; Salicaceae.
UAUAAAAAGUAAACACAGGAUCCAUGGAGGAUUGCAUUUGCAAUAUUCACAAUGUGGGCUAUAAUUCUGUGAUGUUAUGAGAAAAAUAAAUGGGAAAAAGGCAAUAAUACCCUUGAAGUCGGUUUAAAUGAAUUAGAAGUACUGUGGUAAUUGAAUAAAUCUUGAUAAAUAUAAAUAGAAUAAAAAAACAAAGAGAAAAAUCUGGUUUGAGAUAAGAAAGGGGGAAAGAAGAAGAAGAGAAAAGAGGGAUAGAUAAAGGAAGGAGAAGAGAGUUUGAGAAAAUGAGCUUAAAAGGACACGGACUGCUGAAAUACAAGAUUAAUAGCUUCCGUAAUAUGGGAACUAGCAACUAGUUCAACUGCCACGAGAGGGGACACCAUGCCACCGGUCCUCCCUACAGCAUCUGCAACUCCGGCGCCCAGUUGCCCUCACAGCUGUUGGAUAUAACUACAGCAAAGGAAACGGUGGAGAAGAAGCUAUUCGAGACUGUUGAAUUCGAAAAUUUCUUCUAUGGCAACAAAAGUGGUUAAUUUCACAUGAUAAGUUCAUCAUAACGGGAGUCGGUCACUCCCAGAAGACCCCUCUCUGUAACUGAAUGAGAAGACAUUGAACAUGCUUGCAAACAAUGGGCAGUAUAAUGUAUAAAGAUACUUCACAACAAAGCAAAGAAGACAGCAUAUCAUACUCUUGAUCAUAUUUCUAGUACCCAUGCUUUCUCAUAUUCGCCACUUGCUGAUUGAUCAACUACGACAACAGAAAGAGCAAGGGAAAAGAGAAAAGAAGCCAAGUUUCUUUGCAGUUUCAUACAUAGGCAUUAUCAUCUUUCCUCUCUACAAAAAAUACUUUCUAAAGUUAAUUUAAGGAUUUGUAAACUGAAUAUAAAAUAUUUAAUAAUAAAAUUUUGAAUUAAAGUUUUGUAUGA